AGAACAAAAGGAAAAAAGCAUAGAACAAACCCUAGAGAAGAAAAAUCAAGACAAAAUUCAUUGGAUUUCAAGGAAUUUAGCAAGUAAAGGUAAAAUUUCUUAAUUCUAGCUUGUGAUCUACCUUUCAUAUGCAUUCUUUUCAAUUACCAUGGUUAAAAUUCAAGAUCUCAUGAAGGAUUCAUGGCUGACCGAAUUUAGGGAGAGAAGAUUUGGUGAUUUAUUUGGUUAGAUUUCAAGGUAUCUUAGUGUUUUUAGUUGUUUGGUGAUGUUUAGCAUGAAAAACAAGCGCAAGAAAUUUCAUGCCCUUCACCCACAUUCCUUGGCUGAAAUUUUCAAGAGAGAAAUUGGAUAAUGGACUUUGAUCAAUUUCAUGCUAUUUAGGUGUUUUUAGUUGUUUUAUGAUGUAAGGUGAAAAAAUCAAGCAUGAAAAAUACAUGUUCUACACUAAACCUUCAAUGGUCGAUUUUUAUAGGGAAGAUAUUAAUGAUGGAUUUUUGUGAUAUUACAUAUUAUUUAACUUGUAAUUGAUGACUUGGAGUGUUGGAAGUGGAAUCAAGUUAAUUGGAGUUGAAUUGGAUGUAUUGGCCAAUUAAUCGGUGAAUAGAUCAAAUUAGGCCAAUACCAUUUUAUUUCGAUACAUAAUUGAAGCUACGUAGAACACCAUAUUUAGAUAAUAUUUCAAACAUUUUGCAUCCCAUUUCAUGUAUUCAUAUAGAGCCUAAUUUAGUUUUAUAACGGUUUUGUACAAAUAUAGUAAAUUGCUUGUUGUGCAUUAUGUUUAGGUGGUGAAACUUCCGAUAAGGGUAAGGAGAUUGUACCCGAAGAUCGGGACUAGGAGUACUUCGACUCCCGAUAUUGUGAGUAACCUUAUUAUCGUCUUAAUUAUCUAAAGUAGUUUUUAUUCGUUUUUGUGAUUUUAUAGAAAAAUGAGUUUAAAUGGUAAAUCCUUAUGUUUUAUAAGUAAAAUGUGAUUAAAUGAAAUGAGUUUUAUAAAUCAUUUUGAAAUUGAAUGAUGAUUUUAGAAAUUGAGUAAUUGGAGACUGUUUGAUUGUGUUGUAAAUUUAUGGUUUGAAUUGAAUGGCUUAUGGUGAUAUUGGCAUGAAUGGCUGAAUUGGAAAUUGUGUUGAAAUUGUAUGAACUGUUUGUUUUGCCUUAACAGGCUGGGUAGUAAUAUAAUUGCCAUGUUAUGCUGUCGAAACUUUUAUUGAUUUGGUGGGAUAUUGAUUAGUCACUACAAUGGUGGGUUUGCAUGGACCAACCUAUUAGAGAGGGGCAUGGUAAACCCGAUUAUAUUUUAUCUCGAUACGAGAGGCGCGGAGGGUAUCUCUUGAGGUAAAGCUUUAGAGUUCACUAUAUGCUAAACCACCGUGUGAGGGUGAACUCAGCCAACGCCAAGGAACGACUAUGCUUUUAAACAUAAAAAUGUGUUUUAUGCGUAUAUGAACUUUUGUUUAACAGCCUUAAAGGACUCGGUUGGAUGCCUCGACCAAGGUAUCCUCGAGAAUAAGUUUUGGCACGAGCGAAAUUUUUCAGAAAUUCAUAAGCCAUGUUGAUUAUUUGAGUGAAAUGAAAUUAUUUUAUUUAGUUGAAAUGAGUUUGAAACAUUAUGAAUCAUAGUACGAUGAACUAUUUUAAGUUGUCUCCAUUUACUCGACUUUAGAUAUUUUAGAUGAUGUUUGUUUACUCACUGAGUUUAUAUAAACUCACCACCCUCUUUUCCACUUAUUCCAGGAUCAGGACAGUUCGUAAAUAGCAGAUUACGUCGAGGGUUAUUAGUGGACUCGCCUCUUCAGAAAUUGUAGGUCCACAGCUUUUGUUACCUUUGGUCAAUCGGGGGCCCACACAUCAUUGUAAAUUAAAUUACAUACUCUGGUUAUCUGUGUUACUAUAUAUAUGGAUUUAUUUUGCUUUU
This 1912-nucleotide long non-coding RNA is filed under the name Theobroma cacao (cacao). Its description in RNAcentral is "long non-coding RNA (TCAC_LNC001695)". The record is from RNAcentral. Lineage: Eukaryota; Viridiplantae; Streptophyta; Magnoliopsida; Malvales; Malvaceae.